Molecule: long non-coding RNA, 5163 nt
Filed under: Homo sapiens (human)
Lineage: Eukaryota; Metazoa; Chordata; Mammalia; Primates; Hominidae
Description: DNAH17 antisense RNA 1 (DNAH17-AS1)
Source: RNAcentral
GCCACCGUCCCAUACUUGUCCACCUCGGGCAUGUUCAUGUCGUCGAUGAAGUAGACGAGCUUCUUAGUGCCUGGCGGCCCGUAGUUCCUCCCCGAUUUCUUCUCCAGCGGCUUCUCCAGCACCCCUAGAGAGGGCAGAGGGUCAGCUGCCCGCCUGCGCCUCCUGAGCCAGAGCCUGUUAGGUAGGGAGGGGCGCUACCUGCUUCCCCGGAGGACAGAAGGUGGGACCUGGCUGGGAUCCAAGUUUACCAAAGCCCUACCCUCCAGCACUCCAAGGCAGGACUCGCCUCACUUCUGGCGCCUCCUGCUGCCUCCUCCAUACCUCAUUGCCAUCUGGCUCUGCCCUCAACACGCCCUGAAGCUGUUCUCCCUGAGUGAUGGAGAUGCGCCUAGCUCCCAAAUGCAAUGGGAACUCUUCUGUCCUUGGCUUGACUCUGGGUGCCAUCCUACUGAGGUGAUCAGCCCGCCUUGGCCUCCCAAAGUGCUGGGAUUACAGGAGUGAGCCGCUGCGCCCGGCCCUGGAUGCCUUUUAUGAACCACCAGGCUGAACCCUUCUCUGGAUCACGUUUGCUCUGGAGACACACAGGUCCCUGGAGCGGGUGACACACCUGAGAUUUGCCGCUGCCCGCAUUCCCGACGAUGAACACGGAGUGGCGGACCUGCAGCAGCUCCUCCAGCUGCACCACCUUCAGCACGAAGCUGUCCUCCGCCUGCAGCUUGAGCUCCACGAUGCUCUGCUUGAUGAUCUGGGGAGACAUGGAUGAGGCUGGUAGAGACAGGGUUUCACCAUGCUAGCAAGGAUGGUCUCGAUCUCCUGACCUCGUGAUCCGCCCGCCUCGGCCUCCCAAAGUACUGGGAUUACAGGCGUGAGCCACCACGCCCGGCCCCCAGAUGGACUUUUAUCACUCAGCAGAAUUCUCUGGAGAUGCACCCAGGCUGUUGCAGGAACCAGCUUUGGGACCCUGGAGGGCAAGAGCUCAAUGGCACCACACCACCCUUCGGUGCUUGGAACGUUGCAGAGAGGCAAGGAGGGUCUAUCUGGCGUGUGAGGUCACAGGAAAGCUGACGAGCCAGUCACCCGACGUGACCCCGAGGCCGCAGGCAGGGGACUUUACCUGCACGGCAAUCACAGACAAGACUUCCACUGAGAUGCGAUUAAACUCGUCAAAGCAGCCCCAGGCUCCCGUCUGGGCCAGGCCCUUGUAGAUAUUUCCACAGGACUGGAAAGGGCGAGAUGGAGAAAGGAAGAGCUGGGAGGGUGACAGGGAGGGCGGGCGCUGCAGGGGCCUCCCCCUGCCUCUUCGGCUGUGUUUUCUCUUCCCAAAGCUUGCUCAGGCCCCGGUGCAUUGGAGCCUUCCGCAGGCCAGCAGGCAGGUCAGCUUACUGCCCAGGGUAACACCGUGGAGGGCUGGACACGAGGAAGAGCCAUCCUUUCACCCUUGCCUCCCAGACCCCAGGAUGGGGACUUCCUGGAGUCCCUAAUAAGGGGCUCAGACAAGCACAUUUAAGUUCUAAACCUUGCAUGUUUUCUCAGCCCUUUUCUUUCUUGCGUGGAGAGGAGAGGGAGUCCUCUAAGGCGGGAUGGGGGCACGUCUAGCAGGCCGGAGGCUUUCCCUCAAGACAUCUGUGUCUCUCUAGGCCCCACCUGGGCCAAUCAGAAGGACUCGUCCCAUCUACACCUGGGAUUCCAGGUGGAUGUUAAGUCCCUUCCAGGGAGAUCCAACUUCAGAUUUCACUUUUCUAAAAUCCAGGAGGCGGAUGUGGACUGCGUGGCCCUGACAGUGAACAUGGGCUGCUGGUCCCAUCCUCAGCCUCAGGAGGGGGCCCCCAGAUUGUGGGGCUCAGAUCCAAGCUGGGGAGGGGAGACCCUCUGCAGGCCUAGGGUCCAAAACUCAGGGUUCCAUCCCCCUUGCCUUCCCGUCUUGCAAGAGGCUGCUGCAGCCUGGAGCUCCGAGGUAUCCCCUUCCCCUCCCUGGCCUCCUGUGAGCCGACGAUGUCCUGUGCAGGCUCUAAUGACUGAUGGGACCGGGCCAAUCCCCUGCUCCCCUCCCAAACCCACCUGGACACUGCUUGUACCCCACCCCAUGCUGAACCAUGAGGGAGGUGCUCACCCCUGUGCGGAGUCCCCAGUUCGGGGCAAUCUUAACAACUGAAAUUGAGAGAGGGUCACCUCCAGGGCAGGGGCUGGGGCAGGACAUUUGGGGCUGCGUCUGUCCACCCUGGAAGUCUUUCCAGAGGGACCACCUGAGGGGGAUGCUACCAGCAAGUGGGGGCCCUGGCACCUCCUCUCCAGUGCCAUUCACAGGUAUCCAGAGAUCUGGAGUUUACUGUGGGGCCUCGGAGGACAGGGUGCUAGGAUCUGCUUCUAUAAAAGAAGACUCUGGGUCCCUCCUCCGGACCCCGGCCGCGUACCUUGUAGUCCAUCUGCUCGGAGCAGUUGAAGACGUAGACCAUGGUGCCCAGGGCUCUGCCCAGGUCCUUGGUCGUCUCAGUCUUGCCGGUCCCAGCGGGGCCGGCAGGGGCUCCACCCAUGAUGAGAUGGAGGGACUGGGUCAGGGUGAUAUAGCACCUGCAAGUGACCACAGGUAAGCGUGUGUGCCAGCGACCCCAUGGCCUCCCUGCUUUUAUUUUUUUGAGACAGAGUCUCACUCUGUCACCCAGGCUGGAGUGCAGUGGUACAAUCUUGGCUCACUGCAACCUCUGCCUCCUGGGUUCAAAUGAUUCUCAUGCCUCAGCCUCCCAAGUAGCUGGGACUAUAGGCGCCCGCCACCAUGCCCGGCUAAUUUUUGUAUUUUCAGUAGAGAUGAGGUUUUGCUAUGUUGGCCAGGCUGGUCUCGAACUCCUGACGUCAGGUGAUCCACCCACCUCGGCCUCCCAAAGUGCUGGGAUUACAGGCAUGAGCCCCAGGAGACACAUGGGAGAGGGCAGAAAACCUUCAGGUGUGAAGGAGGAACCACAACCGUGGAGCAGAGGCAGCCCAGGUGCCUUUCCCACCUGUGGCAUUCAGGGAGGUGGGCACUGCUACGACAACCAGAGUCUGCUCAUGAGGGUCCAUAAAACAUGACCCCAACUCAGCAGGCCCACAGAGGGGUGCAGGAACUCUCCCAAGGCCACACAGCCGGUGCUAGAACAAGGACACAGUGGUAGAACUGAAUGUGAACACAGGUCCACCUGACGCAAAUGCCCAGUCCUUCCAGCCUCCACAGCUGACCUCCAAGUCGGACAGUUCCAAGAAUCAUGCGGAAGGGACCCACCAAGAGCACAUGUGAGUUACUCAGGGACGGGCCUCACCUGUCAGUGAGUGGGGUGAUGACCAGCCGCGGCGUGUUGCCCAGAUACUCAUAGGAAUACUGGAUUUGGGCAUCGCAGAUGUUGGCAAAGCAGUGUCGCUUCUCUUCGUCCCAGCGAUGCCGGAGCUGGGCCUGCCAGGUGAAGGCCUGAGAACUCUCCACCUGCAGGAUGAGCCGGAGCUCUUGUUGCCAGGUGGAAUACAAGAGCUAGGGCUGCCUAAGGAAGGCCAGCAUGCCUCCAAGGCCGGUCCCCUGCUGCCCAGGGAACCCUCCCUGGCCCUCUUUCCCCCUCCAGCACCCACAUCCAACUGUAUGGCCACCCUCAGUGGAAUCUCGCUACAGAAUGGCACUUCCAAUGGGCGGGCACCGCUCAUCUGACUGCUGUGUGUUGCUCACCAGGGGUGAGUCCGGGCAAGGAGGUUAGGAGGCAGCUGCAGCCAGCAACAGAGUCAGUGCCCCAGGAAGAGGAAGUGGCAGGGUCUGAAGUCCCUGAAUGCACUGCCCUGAACCCGGUGUCCCCUUGCCCUUCCCCUGGCCCCUGGGACAGGGGCGCUCAUGCCUUGGCCACGAUCAUUUUGGCCACCACGUCCCGUGCGUGCACAUCGAUGGUGCAGAUGGUCAUGAUCUUCAUCCUGUCGCCAGCGUUGAGGUUCCCCAUGAGCAGCGUGAUGAGUACGUUCAGCUGGCUAAUCUGCGGGGGAGAGUGCCUUCGAUGAGACACCACGGGUGCCCACAUGCACUGGGGGGUCUUGUGGCUGGGUGCCCACAGCUGCAUAGGGAACACCACCAUGCUUUUGUUUACAGUAAUGAAAAACAAGAGCGCCCUCGGUAGGCCCCAGCCAGGCACUGGUUUCACCAGGGUGCGGCCCUGAUGGGACACCUGGCAGUGGCUAGCAUGGACGUAGUAGAAGGAAAUUCAAGGCCACGAGAGAGGGUGGAUGAGAAGCAAAAACAGCUGACUUUAACGCCAUCCAGAGUCUGUAUAUUUUUACAUAUAAAUCAAUUAUACACACACAGAGUAACAGGUUGCAUAAGGGCCCUGCAGUGUCAUGCUUGGGUUGUGGAAUUACAGGUAAAUUCUCCUUCUUUUCAAGAUGAUCUUUUGUUUCCAUAUUUCUAACCAAGGACAUUUUUUUUUUAAAGACUCUCAGUAGCAUCUGCCAAUUUUCAGGCGAGAAAUCAAAGUACAUAUUUCUGAAGGUGUCUGUUACUCGUGGGGAGAGGUGCCUGGGGCUGUGGUGCGUGGCUGUUAUUUGGCCUGUGGAAACGACGGUUUUGCGGGGCUCAGCCUCCGAGAAGAAGCCGCUCCAGGUACUCGCCCGGCAGGUUUCAGAAGGAUACACGGGCCCAUGCACCUGCUUUUUAAACAAGUUUUAAAAACGUAACUAACUACACACUAGUAACACACCUGCUUUUUGUUAUAAUCUCUGAUAGCGUUUUCAUAGCCUUCCUCCAGCCUGGCAAAUGCCAGGCCCACCUCGGUCGUCCACCAGAUCUGGGUGCAAGUCAGGGCCACCUGAAAGUACAUACCCCCCAUUGCCCACGCAGUGAGCGAUCGCUGGCGCCUGCUAACGCAGACAUUCCUGCUGAAAGCUUAGAUGGUUUUCCAGGGGACCACAGUUAACAGCGGAGCCCAUGAACGCAAAGAAACUCGCCCCUUAUCUCAGCCACGAGGCGCCGCCGAGCCCCCACCCGCCUCAGACCUGGGCUGGGUAGUCCAGGAUCCACUGCUCCCUCGGCUUCUCUUCGUAGGUCACCACGGCCUCUGGGAUUUCGUGCCGGAGGGUAGAGCACAUUCGGUCCAGCACUCGAUUCAGCCACACUUCCACCUGGGGACGGGAGCCACGGUGACCAAUACAGCCAUGUGUGCCUGC